AUUGAACGCUGGCGGCAUGCCUUACACAUGCAAGUCGAACGUGAAAGCGGGGCAACCCGCAAGUAGAGUGGCGGACGGGUGAGUAAUACAUCGGAACGUGUCCAGUAAUGGGGGAUAACCUAGCGAAAGUUAGGCUAAUACCGCAUACGAUCUGCGGAUGAAAGCGGGGGAUGCGGCACUAAAGGCUUUUGGCGAAGGUGGCCAAAGGUGAGUCAAGAGCUUUUAGUGCUGCACCUCGCGUUAUUGGAGCGGCUGAUGUCUGAUUAGCUAGUUGGUGAGGUAAAGGCUUACCAAGGCGACGAUCAGUAGCUGGUCUGAGAGGACGCCAGCCACACUGGGACUGAGACACGGCCCAGACUCCUACGGGAGCAGCAGUGGGGAAUUUUGGACAAGUGGGGCAACCCUGAUCCAGCCAUGCCGCGUGAGUGAAGAAGG
RNAcentral lists this ribosomal RNA (435 nucleotides) under uncultured bacterium. RNAcentral describes it as "bacterial SSU rRNA". It matches the Rfam family "Bacterial small subunit ribosomal RNA", at positions 30 to 414 of the family's 1533-position model. The record is from RNAcentral.